Molecule: microRNA precursor, 82 nt
Organism: Pan troglodytes (chimpanzee)
Lineage: Eukaryota; Metazoa; Chordata; Mammalia; Primates; Hominidae
Rfam family: mir-1233 microRNA precursor family
Source: Rfam
AUGAGUGGGAGUCCAGGGCACGGCAGGGGGAGCUGCAGGGCUGUGGGAGGGGCCCCAGCGUCUGAGCCCUGUCCUCCCGCAG